This 341-nucleotide long non-coding RNA is filed under the name Ananas comosus (pineapple). RNAcentral's name for it is "long non-coding RNA (ACOM_LNC044208)". The record is from RNAcentral. Lineage: Eukaryota; Viridiplantae; Streptophyta; Magnoliopsida; Poales; Bromeliaceae.
AACUUGAAACCUCUUGUAAGGACUGAAAUUUUUACAGUGCAACUAAAUCACUGUUGAUGAUGUUUAUGUGUGUAAUUUAAUUAUAUAAGCACUCAUCAAGUUUCAGGAGAAAAUGAGCUAGAACGGAGAAGUUACGCGAUUAUUAGUUUUCACUUAAAGUGAAUAGUAACCCGAUUUUCCGGAAAAGCUACGGAGUAGAGUUGGCUUUCGGUAUGUAUCGGAUUCCGUUCAUAGCGAUCCAAUAGCUCGUUUCGAUCGGUUCAGCUGUUCUGGAACCAAUGGCACUGACGGAUUUCAGAUCUGAUGCACGGUUUUCGAGAAAAAAGAGUUUUAUCGAAAAG